This 482-nucleotide ribosomal RNA is filed under the name uncultured bacterium. Its description in RNAcentral is "partial 16S ribosomal RNA". It matches the Rfam family "Bacterial small subunit ribosomal RNA", at positions 30 to 507 of the family's 1533-position model. The record is from RNAcentral.
AUUGAACGCUGGCGGCAUGCCUUACACAUGCAAGUCGAACGGUAACGGGCCUUCGGGUGCCGACGAGUGGCGAACGGGUGAGUAAUACAUCGGAACUUGCCCGAUCGUGGGGGAUAACGAGGCGAAAGCUUUGCUAAUACCGCAUACGAUCUACGGAUGAAAGCAGGGGACCGCAAGGCCUUGCGCGGACGGAGCGGCCGAUGGCAGAUUAGGUAGUUGGUGGGAUAAAAGCUUACCAAGCCGACGAUCUGUAGCUGGUCUGAGAGGAUGAUCAGCCACACUGGGACUGAGACACGGCCCAGACUCCUACGGGAGGCAGCAGUGGGGAAUUUUGGACAAUGGGCGCAAGCCUGAUCCAGCCAUGCCGCGUGCAGGAUGAAGGCCUUCGGGUUGUAAACUGCUUUUGUACGGAACGAAAAGCCUUCUUUUAAUACAGGAGGGUCAUGACGGUACCGUAAGAAUAAGCACCGGCUAACUACGUG